ACGCGCUUGAAUGAGGAACUGAGUCCACUUUUUUCUACAUGUUGUUGGUCCAAGCUAAAACGAUAAUAAGAAAAGCAGAAAGGAAGAGAAAACACAUUUAUCGGAAAAACUCAUUGCAACGCGCAGCGUCGGCGCCUCUUCAUCAUCAGUGGCGUGCGCUGUGUUGUUGCUUGUGUGGUUCAAUGCGUGUUGAAUUCGUGUGUGAGUGAUUGAGAGCAUUUGCAGAUUGAUGCGAAUUGCUUCCUUUUCUGCUGAAUUUUCAGUUAUGUGAAGAGUGUGUGUUGAAUGAAAAAUGUGGAUUAAAAAAUGUGUUCUGAACCUUCCUCAAUCUGAAGCGUGAAUAUGGUUUAUAGAGUUCAAAUCUGUUAGAAAUUCAAUUGAAAUUCAGAUUGAAAUGCAAUGGUAAUUCAUCUGUUAGUUACAAAUGCAAGAGUUUGUUAGAGAUUGAAAUUCAAAUGAAAUGUAAUUGAAACUUAAGUGAAAUUCUAUUUUCUCCUUUGUGGAACACACUCUGUCAAAUGUAACUGAAAUGAGGUGAAAUUCAAUGCACAAGCUGAUGUUUAGUGUAGGUUAGGUACAAGAGCUUGGCAUGGACAAGGUUUCGGCAUGGCAUGGGUCAAGGCGCUCCCAUGAAGGGACUUUUGGACAAAAAGUAAAUGGCUUAGGAAUGUAGAAUGAGGCGGAUUUGGUUCAAGAUAGAUAAUUUUGGUCAAUUAUUUAAUCAAAAAGUCAAUAGUAGACCAAAACUCAACCUAGAUAAAAAUAUGUUUUUUUAUAAUGUUUGAAAUUGUAAUGAAAUGUUUGAUAUUGUAAUGAAAUAAAUGGAGGUCGUAUGGUUUGUUUAGUAAUGAAAAUGACUUGCAUGUA
This is a long non-coding RNA of Lathyrus oleraceus (garden pea), 867 nucleotides long. RefSeq lists it as uncharacterized. The transcript is spliced from 2 exons. Lineage: Eukaryota; Viridiplantae; Streptophyta; Magnoliopsida; Fabales; Fabaceae. The record is from RefSeq and is a predicted model, not a curated record.